GACAGAGGGUGCAAACGUUGUUCGGAAUUACUGGGCGUAAAGCGUGCGCAGGCGGUGAUGUAAGUCAGAUGUGAAAUCCCCGGGCUCAACCUGGGAACUGCAUUUGUGACUGCAUCGCUGGAGUGCGGCAGAGGGGGAUGGAAUUCCGCGUGUAGCAGUGAAAUGCGUAGAUAUGCGGAGGAACACCGAUGGCGAAGGCAAUCCCCUGGGCCGGAACUGACGCUCAUGCGCGAAAGCGUGGGGAGCAAACAGG
RNAcentral lists this ribosomal RNA (253 nucleotides) under uncultured bacterium. RNAcentral describes it as "partial 16S ribosomal RNA". It matches the Rfam family "Bacterial small subunit ribosomal RNA", at positions 524 to 776 of the family's 1533-position model. The record is from RNAcentral.